This 567-nucleotide ribosomal RNA is filed under the name uncultured bacterium. RNAcentral describes it as "bacterial SSU rRNA". It matches the Rfam family "Bacterial small subunit ribosomal RNA", at positions 392 to 950 of the family's 1533-position model. The record is from RNAcentral.
CAUCGCCGCGUGAGUGAUGAAGGUUUUCGGAUCGUAAAACUCUGUUGUUAGGGAAGAACAAGUGUCUAGUACUGAUGGCACCUUGACGGUACCUAAACAGAAAAGCACGGCUAACUACGUGCCAGCAGACGCGGUAAUACGUAGGUGGCAAGCGUUGUCCGGAAUUAUUGGGCGUAAAGCGCUCGCAGGCGGUUCUUUAAGUCUGAUGUGAAAUCUUACGGCUUAACCGUAAACGUGCAUUGGAAACUGGGGAACUUGAGUGCAGAAGAGGAGAGUGGAAUUCCACGUGUAGCGGUGAAAUGCGUAGAGAUGUGGAGGAACACCAGUGGCGAAUGCGACUCUCUGGUCUGUAACUGACGCUGAGGAGCGAAAGCGUGGGGAGCGAACAGGAUUAGAUACCCUGGUAGUCCACGCCGUAAACGAUGAGUGCUAGGUGUAAGGGGGUUUCCGCCCCUUAGUGCUGAAGUUAACGCAUUAAGCACUCCGCCUGGGGAGUACGGCCGCAAUGCUGAAACUCAAAAGAUUUGACGGGGUGGCCGCACAAGCGGGUGGAGCAUGUGGUUAAAU